This is a long non-coding RNA of Drosophila subobscura, 99 nucleotides long. RefSeq lists it as uncharacterized. NCBI's taxonomy places the organism in Eukaryota, Metazoa, Arthropoda, Insecta, Diptera, Drosophilidae. The transcript has 3 exons. The record is from RefSeq and is a predicted model, not a curated record.
CUGCCUCGCAUAUUUCUCUCUUUUCUGGCUGUUGCCAUCCAGCCGCUUUUUGGCCAAGUGCAUUAUGAUGGCAAGCGAAUGACAGAGCAGUGAGGCAGG